CACGGUGCUUGGCCAUGAUUACCCCAAACGCCGUAAUCAUGGCCAAGUACCGUGCUUGGGCGGGAGUACCUCAUGAUUUAGUUCUACUCGGCUCUCUUCCAUUUUUAGAUUAAAAAGUCACAACAUCAUCGUCACGGUUCAUGAACUGACUUUUUAUUUGAACACCUAACUCGUCGUAGAAAGUGGUCCUCUUAGUGUUCUAGUGCGAACAUUUGAUGACUUAAUCCUCUAUUUCUGACUUUAAAUACAACUAUAAACAUGUACUCUGUCGAGGAUUAGGACACUAUUAGUGAUGAUCGAUCAUGUCUGGUAACGAUCAAACAUGCCCUGGUCGCAGUACUCUCCUUACCGUAUGAUGUCGCGGAAUAUCUCUCAUGAUCUAACACCAUGACGUGUUAAAAGCAAGAUCAACUUUUAACAUUUAGUAGUUUCCUCACCGACGGAAACAUAGUGUAGUCAUAAUUCCGUCGAGUAUCGUGGUAGACUUGAAAAGAUAUACAAACCAGUAUGAGUAAAUGAAUGACAUUACCAUUUGUAGUUUCCUCACCGAUGGUAACACAGUGUGCGUGGUCACAAUUUACGAGCCUGACACUCUUUUAAAUAAAGAAUAAUAUGAAAGUAUACACUUAAAUAUGAACAGUCGUAGGUAUAAUAAACAUUCACGGUCGGAGUGAUCGGCGUGUGAUACAUUACGUUGAAACCGUUUGAAUAUACUUUGAAACUUCAUAUCAACCGAACCAUUUUCCCUUUACGAUUUUAUGUUGAAGGUCUGUAACAACUACAUACGGGGACUUGGAUUUUUAACAUAUAACUACUGUUACUAAACUCCAGACUAAAAGGAUCAAAAAUCAAGUAGAUCUAGUCCUCGUUUCGACUUGUAAGUCCUUGAUAUUCUCUAGAUUCGAAACGAUACCGAGAAAUAGUUCUAUACCAAAAAUGGACACAAGUCGUUAUCGAUGAUACAACCAAGUUAGACUUAAAUAAGAGGUAAUAUAAAGGAAGAAGGCUAGAAAUUAAGAGAACAAUAGGUCAUUUUAUUGUCAAACAAGAGAUUGAACAGAUAGGUUAUGUUUUUGUACUCAAUGUAAGUUUCAUGUCCCUUGUAGUAAUCACGUUGUUUCUCCAACGUCGUUUUUCAGCUCCAAUAGUGAACCUUUCUUCUUUAACAUAUUAUAAGAAGGUUUACUUCUUCUCAAGUAGAUCUAAACCUCGUUUUAUGUUCUAAGCACUAGAUUUUCUCUACAUUCUCGGGAAUGAGAUCAUCUCUUUCGUACCUCGCCAUCGUACCGUCCGUGUUCCUUGUAGUACUUCUGUUUCUGUCUCUCGAAAGUUGUUAUUGUACUCCAAUAGAUAGUUCCCAUAGGAACCUCUUGUAGAACGUUGGUUUCGACAUCGUCUUGGAACAUCUUUUACUCCAGAGCUUAAAACUUAUAAACCAACUACGUGGUCACAGAAACCAGAGACAAAAACAACUGGUAACUAGGGACAUAUAUUGAAGAUACGUUAAACUAGUCUUCAAUACACUUAAGCGUUGAGACACUAAUUACAUUUGAUAACUACACAGAUACGAAACUUAUAAAACUCACCUU
Molecule: ribosomal RNA, 1589 nt
Filed under: Triticum aestivum (bread wheat)
Lineage: Eukaryota; Viridiplantae; Streptophyta; Magnoliopsida; Poales; Poaceae
Description: partial small subunit ribosomal RNA
Source: RNAcentral